CCCAGUAACUUUUUGACCAAAGAAAAGCAGUUUUCAAAAGAUUGUUUAUGAAAGGAAUAAGGGCAAAUACAGAAUUCGUUUUAAUGUUCAUUUUCUGAAGAACGUUUUUCAUGACAAACAGCUGAGCUGCAACACUGCAGAGGUGUUUGGUUGUGGACACUAACUUUGCGGGUCUUGGAAAAAAAAAAAAAAGAUGAGUGGAAAAUGCUUCCUGAGUUGCCAGGCACGGAUGGGACUGCCGUAGGACUCAGAUAACUGGUUGUAACUGCUGGCAUCACCUCUUGCACGUGCAGGCUUGCACACACAGCAGCAAACAACGUGCACAUCGCUGCUGAUGUCCCAGUAACAGGCUCAUACGGCGUGGUGACACCGGGCUCUUAGCUAGGAUGGCUGAUGCGGGGACAAGGGGCAGGCGGGGACGGGUCGCGGUGCCGUGUGUAGGUACACGCAAGAAAUGCGUGAGGUCUGGUUGCAGCCUCAGUUCAUUUUGUCCCUGUCUGACCCAGCUUCGGGUGUGAUUAUCCUCGGUGUGUUACAGCCCGGGCAGGCGGGGUGGGUAAGGCAUUCUCCCUGUCCGUCUCGCUGCUGCGGCAGGUUCCCCGUCCUGAUGCUUUGUCUCUCCAGUUGGGGAGCGCAGGGGAAGGUUAAUGAAUCUUAAACGGUCUGCAAGCGGCACCGUGUAGCUCCAAGCAAGCAACCUGUAGUCUGAUCGGGGUCUUCCUGCAGGAGCUUGCUCUCACCCAGGCCUCCAGCCCCUGCAGUUCCGCGCAGGGUUGCGCACCCCACUGCAGUGCUAGGAGUGCAUGGGGCAGGGUUUAGGACAGAGCCUAGGACCAUCCUCGACUUUCUCCCAGGAUCAGAUCCGGCAUGGAAAGAGCGUCGUUAUGGGCCCAUGAGACUUCUUGCUCGGGUUACCGAGUCCCUGCUGAAGCCGAAGGGGAUGGAUGCUGUUCGCCCCAGCCUGAGAAGCAGCGGGGAGGAGGUUUAUUACAGAGUAUGAAAAGCAGGAAGCUUUCUGCUCACUUCAUACAUCUCCUCCGCAGAGCCAGCCAUCAGAAGCCAGCACAGACUCCAGACUGAUUAUUGUUACACAUGAUCUAUGGAGCAGAUAAAUUACAGCUUGAUUUUUAUAAGGUAUGUUGAGCCUGCAGGCUUCAGCAGAAACAAAAACAAAACAAAACACAAAACCUUGCUUUAACUAGUAAUUUGAGGGAAUAUGACAAACCUGACAUGGAAGUCACAGAGCAAAUAAAUAUGCACAUCCAUCAUUUUGUAAAAUAAUG
This 1283-nucleotide long non-coding RNA is filed under the name Anser brachyrhynchus (Pink-footed goose). RNAcentral's name for it is "lncRNA (ENSABRG00000006042.1)". Lineage: Eukaryota; Metazoa; Chordata; Aves; Anseriformes; Anatidae. The record is from RNAcentral.